AUUGAACGCUGGCGGCAUGCUUUACACAUGCAAGUCGAACGGCAGCGCGGGCUUCGGCCUGGCGGCGAGUGGCGAACGGGGGAGUAAUACAUCGGAACGUGCCCAGUAGUGGGGGAUAGCUCGGCGAAAGCCGGAUUAAUACCGCAUACGACCUGAGGGUGAAAGCGGGGGAUCUUCGGACCUCGCGCUAUUGGAGCGGCCGAUGGCCGAUUAGCUAGUUGGUGGGGUAAAGGCCUACCAAGGCGACGAUCUGUAGCUGGUCUGAUAGGACGACCAGCCACACUGGGACUGAGACACGGCCCAGACUCCUACGGGAGGCAGCAGUGGGGAAUUUUGGACAAUGGGCGAAAGCCUGAUCCAGCAAUGCCGCGUGUGUGAUGAAGGCCUUCGGGUUGUAAAGCACUUUUGGCGGGAACGAAAAGGACUGUGCCAAUACCACGGUUGGAUGACGGUACCCGCAGAAUAAGCACCGGCUAACUACGUG
Molecule: ribosomal RNA, 484 nt
Filed under: uncultured bacterium
Lineage: Bacteria
Description: partial 16S ribosomal RNA
Rfam family: Bacterial small subunit ribosomal RNA
Source: RNAcentral